RNAcentral lists this long non-coding RNA (603 nucleotides) under Ananas comosus (pineapple). RNAcentral describes it as "long non-coding RNA (ACOM_LNC007066)". The record is from RNAcentral. Lineage: Eukaryota; Viridiplantae; Streptophyta; Magnoliopsida; Poales; Bromeliaceae.
CGAUACUUGCCGAAAGCCAACUCUACUCUGUAGCUUCUCCGGAAAAAUCGGGUUACUAUUCACUUUAAGUGAAAAUUAAUAAUCACGUAAUUUCUCCGUUCUAGCUCAUUUUCUCCUGAAACUUGACGAGUGCUUAUGUAAUUAAAUUACACACAUAAACAUCAUCAACAGAGAGUUUAGUUGCACUGUAAAAAUCUCAGUCCUUACACAUAGAGGGGAUUUAGAUGUUGAUUAGGGGAUAAAGGUGGGAUUUUUAAGGAAAAAAUAAGAUGGGAAAUAAUAUGAAGUGGAUUUUGAGGGGUUCUAGAUAGGGGAAUUGAUCUAUUUUUGAGAUAAUUUUUUUGAAGAAAUUGGGGUUAAAAUUGUAUGAAAAUGAGGAUAAAAAAUAAUAUAAAAUGGGAUUUGGGGGUUUUAGAAGGGAUUUUUUUACGUAAAAUUGCAAAUAAAAAAUGAAUUUUUGGGUUAAAAAUGAUCUUUUUGUUGAACCUGAGAUCAGUUUUGAAAAUAUUAUAGAGUUUUUAGAGAGAAAUUGGAUAUGAAUCUUUUUACAAUAUCUAAAUUGAAGUGUUUAAGAUUUGAUAUUAUGAAAAUAGUUAAAUUUGG